Molecule: unclassified non-coding RNA, 210 nt
Filed under: Ascomycota sp.
Lineage: Eukaryota; Fungi; Ascomycota
Description: partial contains small subunit ribosomal RNA, internal transcribed spacer 1, and 5.8S ribosomal RNA
Rfam family: Eukaryotic small subunit ribosomal RNA (bases 1-47)
Source: RNAcentral
AAAGUCGUAACAAGGUUUCCGUAGGUGAACCUGCGGAAGGAUCAUUAUCGUAGGGGGCUAUGCCCCCGAAAGUAUAACCCUUGUCUAUAAGUACUAUUGUUUCCUCGGCAGGCUUGCCUGCCAAUGAGGACCCCAUCAACCCUUUUUAUGUUAUUGUAACCGUACCAAAACAAAUAAUCAAAACUUUCAACAACGGAUCUCUUGGUUCUG